Molecule: long non-coding RNA, 1122 nt
Organism: Dama dama (fallow deer)
Lineage: Eukaryota; Metazoa; Chordata; Mammalia; Artiodactyla; Cervidae
Exons: 3
Source: RefSeq, a predicted model, not a curated record
UGGGUGAGCCAAGCCUCGGAACUGCAGGCUCCUGUAACAGGGACAUCUUUCUGAGCCUCUGGAGUUUAAAGCACCUUAGGAGAGCCAACUGAGGUGAAGGAGUGAUGCCAAAUAGAGAAAUCAAAGUGGAGGAGUGGUUUGCCAAAUCCCUUGUGGUGGCCAGAAAGGAUGACACCAGGGCAGGGGUGAGGACAAGAGAUUCUUUAGGCUUGAGAGUCCCUUGGACUGCAAGGGGAUCCAACCAGUCCAUCCUAAAGGAGAUCAAUUCUGGGUGUUCAUUGGAAGGACUGAUGCUGAAGCUGAAACUCCAGUACUUUGGCCACCUCAUGUGAAGAGUUAACUCAUUGGAAAAGACCCUGAUGGUGGGAGGGAUUGGGGGCAGGAGGAGAAGGGGAUGACAGAGGAUGAGAUGGCUGGAUGGCAUCACCGACUCGAUGGGCAUGAGUUUGAGUAAACUCCGAGAGUUUGUGAUGGACAGGGAAGCCUGGCGUGCUGCGAUUCAUGGGGUCGCAAAGAGUCAGACACGACAGACUGACUGAACUAAACUGAACUGAACUGAACAUGUAGAAUUUUGUAUAUAUGAAUAAUGAUAGCUAUAUUUCUUCCUUUCUGAAUUUUGUAUCUUUUAUUUCUUUUUCUCCUGUUGUGCUCACUGCAUCUUUCAGUAUAAUUUUGAAUAGAUAUAUUAAGAAAUAUCCUUCCUUUGGUCUUGAUAGUAGGGAGAACUCUUUAUCAUAUUGAAAAAUAUCCCUUCUAUUCUUAGUUGGCAAAGAGAUUAUUUUUAGGAUUGUGCAUGAAAAUUAGCAAAUGCAUUUUCUGCAUUUAUUGAGAUCAUUAUAUGAUAUUCUUUUCUUCUUUAUUCUGGCAAUUCUGGUAUAUUAGAUUAAUUUUGAGUGUUAAACCAAUCUUGCGUUUCUUGGAUAAUCCACUUAGUAAUGAUGAUGUUCUGUCUCUUUAAAUUUGUUUAUAGUUUGCUAAGAAGUAUUGCAUCUGUGUUUGUAUGAAAUGUUAGUUAAUGAUGUCCUUUUAAUGUCCUUAUUUGGUUAUGGUAUUAGCAUUAAGACGGGUUCAUCAAAAGAACUGCAAUGUACUCCCUUCUUUUCUAUUUUCUCAAGGAAUUUG